GACAAACGCUAACGGUGUGCUUAAUACAUGCAAGUCGAACGGGCGAUGCAGAAGUGGCAACACUUAUGCAAAGCUAGUGGCGAACGGGUGAGUAACGCGUAGACAAUCUGCCUUGGAGAUUGGGACAACUAUUCGAAAGAAUGGCUAAUACCAAAUACUUUAUAUUAACCGCAUGGUUUUUAUAAUAAAGGGGGCUUUUAGCUCCCGCUUCAAGAUGAGUCUGCGUCCUAUUAGCUUGUUGGUGAGGUAACUGCUCACCAAGGCAACGAUGGGUAGCCGGCCUGAGAGGGUGAUCGGCCACACUGGGACUGAGAUACGGCCCAGACUCCUACGGGUGGCUG
Molecule: ribosomal RNA, 341 nt
Filed under: uncultured Actinomycetes bacterium
Lineage: Bacteria; Bacillati; Actinomycetota; Actinomycetes
Description: bacterial SSU rRNA
Rfam family: Bacterial small subunit ribosomal RNA
Source: RNAcentral